AGUCUUUCGUUUUUGCCCCACCGACCCUAUAUAAUAGGGCGUCGGGUUUACUCGACUAUGGCGAUAAACGUUUUGCGCAAUAAACGUUCGGACCCGGGGGCAGUACCCGGCGCCUCCACCAUUAUUCCUCGGUAUUUCAUGGCUUACGCCAUGACCGGAAUGGGGGCGAAAUAGGAUCGACGGGCGCGUAAAGGCUGAACUUUUGCCCGGUAUGGUACCACCGACAUCGGGCCAUAUUCAUAGGUGCCAACGACAAUGUUGAAACCUUCGCUGUUGCCGCUUAAUUAAGCGAUAAUAAGCGCGGUUCGGGGGGCACCGGGCAACAGAAGCCCCCCACU
Molecule: transfer-messenger RNA, 338 nt
Filed under: Rhodospirillaceae bacterium
Lineage: Bacteria; Pseudomonadati; Pseudomonadota; Alphaproteobacteria; Rhodospirillales; Rhodospirillaceae
Rfam family: Alphaproteobacteria transfer-messenger RNA
About the family: Bacterial tmRNA, also known as 10Sa RNA or SsrA, is named for its dual tRNA and mRNA-like properties. Its role is to liberate the mRNA from a stalled ribosome. To accomplish this part of the tmRNA is used as a reading frame that ends in a translation stop signal.
Source: RNAcentral